GCUGCGGUAGCCCAGUUUGUAGGGCGUUGUCAAUACAGAUGGCGAAAGUCGCAGGUUCAUAUCCUGCCUACAGCG
Non-coding RNA from Phthorimaea operculella (potato tuberworm), 75 nucleotides. The record is from the annotation of a GenBank genome assembly. NCBI's taxonomy places the organism in Eukaryota, Metazoa, Arthropoda, Insecta, Lepidoptera, Gelechiidae.